RNAcentral lists this long non-coding RNA (1646 nucleotides) under Triticum aestivum (bread wheat). Its description in RNAcentral is "long non-coding RNA (TAES_LNC003094)". The record is from RNAcentral. Lineage: Eukaryota; Viridiplantae; Streptophyta; Magnoliopsida; Poales; Poaceae.
ACAUGAACUUCUUAACAAAUAUUUUUUAUACAAAAUACAUCUUAUACCAACUUGAUACAUUCGAUAGACACACAAAAAACCCACAAACAACAACACCUAUAACGGUGCUUGACCUGACUGAUUUCCCUAGGAAAUCUGCCGGAUGAUUUGUAGCAGUCGCCCUUAUAAAAUGCACUGAACCCCACGUAUUAACAUAGCGAGAAUGCAAAUACUUUGCGUCGCCGAACCGCACACACUCGCCGCAUUGCACGCACGCGAUUGCUUGAACUGCACGGAGGCGUUGCCCAUGCACUAUACCAGCAAGCGAGCUACAAAACAAACUUUCAGCGAGCUGUAAAAUAAACUUCAAUGGGCUGCAAAGAGGGCCCCCUCGCCCUGGAGAACCAGAGCCAUUGCCAACCUGGACCCGUAAUCCAUCCACUCCAGUGUCGUUGAGGAGCCCGCGACAACGGCAAGGAGCUCACCGCACUUCUUACAUCGGCACUUCCACCGGACUGCACGAACGCGUGCACCGCACUGCAUGACACAUGCCGGAGACCGUGAGGGCUCACCCUCAAUGAACUGCAUCAACACACUGGAAAAUAUACUCAACGGAAGCUUCUGAACAGCACUGCACCCAAUUCACUUAUCAGUUUUUCUAAAAAACAUUAGAAAAAAUAAAAUAAACAAUAGCAACUUUGUCGACAAAUAUAUUUAGAAAUGUGGCUAUAGCAGGGCACAUUGGACCUGGGCAUAUGGAUGCGAUCCACUAAAAAGACUAGACACAGGUUAGUCGUCGCAAGCAUGUAUUUAAUUAACAGCGGUCAAUGAACAAGAACCGGCAAGGAAACAUCAAUUCAGCAAACACCUAAGCUACACGCACGCACGAAUGGAUCAAGCAUAGAAAUGAAACUGGGGGAGGGAUGCGUAUCAAUGAAUCACCUCUGGUCUCCGCAAGUGAACAGACUGCACUUCAUGCAGGGGACAGUUCAUUAAAGCUGUUAUCCGUCCUGCAGGGUCGGGGAUGCCGAGAUACGACGAUGGCAGAGACCCCGAUGCAGGCCAUGACAGGGAUAGGGGAGUGGCAGAAGAAAGAAAUAUUAAUGGAGCUGGCCACUAGAGAGCCACGCCAUGCCACCACCAUGGGAGAGGACGACGAGGAGGACCAAGGAGGCGGCCCCGAGCGCCAUCCCUCUCCCACUCAUGCUCUCAGAAUAGGCUAGGUGGGGGAUGGGGGAGGUCAACGGAUCCAGGGCAUCUUCGGCGGAUCUUGGGGCGGAUGGGUGCCCGAUGCACCUCUGGUGACAGUCGGUGGCGGUAGAGCCGGCCUGAUCCAGCGUGGUCACCCCCCUCCUUCCCAUGGAUGGAUCUGGUGGCGGGCUCGUAGGAGAAUGCUGGAGUGGAUCCCAGUGGAGAUGGCGCGGGGCAAGGAGGCGUCAUGGCGGCGCGAGGGUAGGAGGCGGCGCUGGGGAAGGAGGCGGGGCGGUGGUGCGGGGGUAGGAGGCGACGAGGCGGGGAUGGGGAGUGUGCGACGUGAAGCGGGGGUUCGUGGGGGACACGGUGGUCGUGGGAGAGAAGGAGGAUUUGGUGGAUAAGAAGAUAAGGUGGGAUAGUGUUUUUUUAUGCACGCGCAGUUCGCUCGGUGUAGUUUGUAGCUACGGUGCAGU